Molecule: transfer RNA, 68 nt
Filed under: Marmota monax (woodchuck)
Lineage: Eukaryota; Metazoa; Chordata; Mammalia; Rodentia; Sciuridae
Description: tRNA.Ala
Source: RNAcentral
GUUGUGGCUCAGUGGUAACGCGUAUGCCUAGCAUGUAUGAGGCACUGGGUUCGAUUCUCAGCACCACA